GUGCAGAGCAAAACUAUAGAUAUAUAAAAAAGAGGGACAAAAAGAAAAAUAUUAAGUGUUUGAAUGAAAAUACAUUAAAAACAUUACAAAUAGAUAUUAAGUGUUUACAUUUUUUAUAGUUCUGCAUAACUUAGUUGCUGGGUUUCUAUGAAGCUAUGAAACAUGCUUGAAUAUAGCAACAUAACAAAAGUAGCCUUCAGAACCUUGUAUAGGAUUGAUGUUUGGUGAGAAACCAUACAAACAUUACAUUUAUAUUCUAGUGAGAAUUUCAGGAAGCGAACUUCUGAAAGGGACACUAUAUGAGCCAAAAAAAAAUGUUAAGGGGCGCUAAUCAGUUAGAGGGGUUAUUUAGAUUUCAGGGGCCCCCUUUGUAACAAUAAAAGCAAGUAAUCAAAACCAUUACUUUCCUAUAAUCCAGAGCCAAGACAGUCUCUUCUCUGCAGUUCAGUACACCUCAGCUAAGGUCAUGUGGCUUGGUGUCGAUAUCUCAAUGAGACUCAUAUAAAAGCAUUGUGGACUUGAAGGAAUACUAUAACGUUAGGAAUACAAACCUGUAUUCCUAACAUUAUACGUUCCUAUCCCUAAUACUAUUAUGUGUGCUCCCUCGGGUUCAUCACUUAAAGAGUUAGAAAACCUAUUUUACUAUACUUACCUUGUUUCCAGUAUAGAGGCUCCCUCAAUGCUGCUCACCUCUCCUACAGAGGCUCAGUCAUGAAAGAGGCAGGGUCUAGUCCAGCAGGGUCCAAUCCAAUCACCUCACGCAGAGUCUUUGUCAUAGGAAUGCAUUCAAUCGAUGCUUUCCUAUGGGGGUUCUGUGUCACGUAACCUAGUCUUACUCGGUCUGUACCGCGGAAGAGCUUCAAUAAUGCUCUUAGAGCCAUAAUGCUGUCAAAGCAUGAACGGAUAUGUAGUCUACAACAUCUAGAGUGCCGAAGGUUGCCUCCACCUGAUCUAGUGUAGAUGUGUUAAGCUCCAUCCCAUAUAACACUGGGGAAUGUUUUACAUUUCGCAAGCAAAACAGCAGGGCCACUGCACCGAGACCACUUUAUUGAUGCCACCAGGAGCUUUGCAUACCUAUAAUAUGACUAUUUAACCAUUGUAUUUAUCUUUUUUUUUCACAGAUACUGUAUGUGACAAGAUAAUAUUUAUUCUUCUAAGGAAAUAGAAUAGAAC
Molecule: non-coding RNA, 1173 nt
Organism: Pelobates cultripes (western spadefoot toad)
Lineage: Eukaryota; Metazoa; Chordata; Amphibia; Anura; Pelobatidae
Source: the annotation of a GenBank genome assembly